Molecule: ribosomal RNA, 1167 nt
Filed under: Acinetobacter sp. YT-02
Lineage: Bacteria; Pseudomonadati; Pseudomonadota; Gammaproteobacteria; Moraxellales; Moraxellaceae
Description: bacterial SSU rRNA
Rfam family: Bacterial small subunit ribosomal RNA
Source: RNAcentral
AACCCUGAUCCAGCCAUGCCGCGUGUGUGAAGAAGGCCUUUUGGUUGUAAAGCACUUUAAGCGAGGAGGAGGCUCUCUUGGUUAAUACCUGAGAAGAGUGGACGUUACUCGCAGAAUAAGCACCGGCUAACUCUGUGCCAGCAGCCGCGGUAAUACAGAGGGUGCGAGCGUUAAUCGGAUUUACUGGGCGUAAAGCGCGCGUAGGUGGUUAAUUAAGUCAAAUGUGAAAUCCCCGAGCUUAACUUGGGAAUUGCAUUCGAUACUGGUUAGCUAGAGUAUGGGAGAGGAUGGUAGAAUUCCAGGUGUAGCGGUGAAAUGCGUAGAGAUCUGGAGGAAUACCGAUGGCGAAGGCAGCCAUCUGGCCUAAUACUGACACUGAGGUGCGAAAGCAUGGGGAGCAAACAGGAUUAGAUACCCUGGUAGUCCAUGCCGUAAACGAUGUCUACUAGCCGUUGGGGGAUUUGAUCCUUUAGUGGCGCAGCUAACGCGAUAAGUAGACCGCCUGGGGAGUACGGUCGCAAGACUAAAACUCAAAUGAAUUGACGGGGGCCCGCACAAGCGGUGGAGCAUGUGGUUUAAUUCGAUGCAACGCGAAGAACCUUACCUGGCCUUGACAUAGUAGAGACUUUCCAGAGAUGGAUUGGUGCCUUCGGGAAUCUACAUACAGGUGCUGCAUGGCUGUCGUCAGCUCGUGUCGUGAGAUGUUGGGUUAAGUCCCGCAACGAGCGCAACCCUUUUCCUUACUUGCCAGCAUUUCGGAUGGGAACUUUAAGGAUACUGCCAGUGACAAACUGGAGGAAGGCGGGGACGACGUCAAGUCAUCAUGGCCCUUACGGCCAGGGCUACACACGUGCUACAAUGGUCGGUACAAAGGGUUGCUACCUCGCGAGAGGAUGCUAAUCUCAAAAAGCCGAUCGUAGUCCGGAUCGCAGUCUGCAACUCGACUGCGUGAAGUCGGAAUCGCUAGUAAUCGCGGAUCAGAAUGCCGCGGUGAAUACGUUCCCGGGCCUUGUACACACCGCCCGUCACACCAUGGGAGUUUGUUGCACCAGAAGUAGGUAGUCUAACCGCAAGGAGGACGCUUACCACGGUGUGGCCGAUGACUGGGGUGAAGUCGUAACAAGGUAGCCGUAGGGGAACCUGCGGCUGGAUCACCUCCUUAACGAA